UGGAAGAGUGAGGAUGUGCUGGUGAACGAGAUGGUGAAAUUGGUGAGGGACACCAUUGGGCCGGUGGCAGCUUUUAAGAAGGUUGUCUUUGUCAAAGCUCUUCCCAAAACCCGCUCGGGAAAAAUUCCACGAUCGUCUCUCGCAAACCUGGUGAACCACAAGCCUUAUAAGAUCAGUCCCACCAUAGAAGAUCCUGAGGUCUUUAAGGACAUUGAGAAGCUGCUGAGAGAAACUGUGAAAGGACCUGGUAAAUAAUAUACAACCAGAUGUGGAUCUGCACACACACACACACACACACUCACUCUCACUAAACACCCUUCCUCCCUAAUGUGAUGUAAUUUAUAUGCGUUAAAAUGAUCAUUUCCACUUGUUUAUGUUUUUGAAUAACUUGGACCAAAUAUAGGCAGUAGUCAACAUGUUUAGAUAAUUAAAAAAUUAGGAUGAGUUUGACUUGGUGAAUGUUACAAAUAUAUGUCCAGUUCAUACUUAUUUCACCCCCGAGAUCCAAAAUAAAAAAAUAAGUGAUAUAUAUUUUGCGAAAGAAAAUCAAAUGAUGGCCAUUUUUAUAUUGUAUUGUAGUGUAAUUUUUGUACCCCCCCCCAACUACAAACUAACAAUUGUGCCAAUGUUUACAUUUUUGAAUUUGAAAGAUUUUAUUGACAUUUUAUAGUUUGACAACUGAAGGAAAAAAAAUUACCUGUAUGUAGUUAUCGUAAAAAAUUGGCUCCAUUAUUUUCCUCCUUGUGACUUUUAAUAUAUAACCUGGACAUGCUGUUGACCGUUUUUGUGAGAUUCACCUUGCAACACACUAAACAAUUGAUUGACUUGAGGUGAAAUGUAAUGUAUUGUAGCGUCAGCUUGACGAGAUGCAUUGGAAAAACAUUUGUGACAAUGAUUGUUAUAAAGCAAACCUAUUUGACUGUACUUUUUAUUGACAAUGAAAAGUUGUUUGAUCACCACAUAGUUUUGACCAAAAUACAAUCAGUAAUAAAUAAAAAAUGGACACAAAAUAAAAUGAUUCUCUGCGCGUGCAAAACUGGGACGUAUAAACAGUCAAAGUGUUUGAAAUAACCUAAAGACCUGCAUCUCAAACAGAAACAAGUUGAAAAUAUUUUUACACCAAAGUCAGUCUAUGUUCACUACGAGCUAAGCCUGUCCUUUAGCGAAUUAUUCUAACAGGAGGCGGCCGGACGCUCUCGAGACGAGGCCACGGAGCAAACGGCUACAGGUGCAGCAAGAGACUUGUGUUUUGUGCUCCGAGACACAACGAAUACGCACCAUGCUCUGGCGGUACAUUUUGUGCUAUUCAUGACGGGAAGCAAUUUGUGUUUUACGUUCUUUCUAACCAAAAGAUAAGAUGUGUGACUGCAUGCGUGAGACGUAAACAUAUCCAAUUAUUAAGUCGUGUUCUUCAGUACGCUUCACUGUGAAGGAUCGAUUGAACAUUGUUGAAAGUUUUUCUGCAUGUUUAAUCCAAUAGAAUGAUUGAUGCAAAAUGACUUUCUGAACUCGUAUGUGGUACUUGCUUUUCACAAUCCAGCUGAUGAAUUAACGAUGGACAAAUGAAGACCCAGGUGAUAUUAUUUUAGUUCAUAUUUUGUUUUCACAUAGAAAUAUGUGAAGUAAGGAAAAAUUUCCCCAAAUCUUUGCCAAAAAGUUUGACCUAUUUGUUGAAUAGGUGCAUUUCUUACGGGUUUAGGUCAGACCUGCACCUGGAGUAGAUGUAGACCCGGGCUCCAAAGAGGUACGAGUGAGUAACUGGUGUGGUACUCUGACAGGUACGUAUAGCUUUUGGGCGAGGCGCUUCCAGUCGGCAGACCGCACAACAGGCCUCAAAACGCAUGAAUAAAUGAAUGAAAAUUAACAGAAUGUCAAAAGCGUCUCUCGGGUGUAGGAGAAAAAAUAAGAACAGCAGCAUUGUUUAAAACCGUGAUGCGAUGUGCACAAACUCUGAAUGUUCUUUCUUUUUAUACAGACGUGUGUAUAUAUAUUUAUUUAUAU
This is a long non-coding RNA of Sinocyclocheilus grahami, 2001 nucleotides long. RefSeq lists it as uncharacterized. NCBI's taxonomy places the organism in Eukaryota, Metazoa, Chordata, Actinopteri, Cypriniformes, Cyprinidae. The transcript has 2 exons. The record is from RefSeq and is a predicted model, not a curated record.